UACAGUAGACAGCAAAUGGCCAAGGUAAUUGGGGGCAUUCAACAGAUCCAUUCUGCUCUAAUUGAACAUAAUGAUUCUUAUCCUCAAACCAUCAUGAUCAUCCCUAACGACACAGAAAAAGUUGCGUGGAUAGAUUUUGAUAUUGCAAUCACAUAGCAGCUACAUCGGGGAAAGGGAGUGUGGCUGGCUUGAUCUUGAAGCUGAGCGUGUGGAAGACUUCGGGGUGAAACUUGUUCGUGCCUUGAAUAUCUUGCGGGGGUUUUUUUUUUUGAUCUCUGACAGAUUAACAAGCAGAUGACCAGAGACGGGGGUCUCCCACCAAACACAAAAUAUUACUGACAUAUUAAUUUACAAUCCGAACACAGAUGCGCAGGUAGCAAAAGAAAAAGCAGAUGGAUAGAAUAUGAAAGCCCUGUGAAAUUUGAGACCAUUCCUUUAUGACCCCAGGUAAUAGCACAAUAUACACGCAUAUCCGCCAUUCGUUUUCUGCCACCCCGAGCAUCCCGAGAUACCAAAGUCCCACAAAAAUGGUCAAACACGCAGGUCCUGCUGCCUCCCGUGGUAUGGCACAUCCUACCAACAAGUUGCCAUUUGUCUCAAUAUGAAAUUCCGUAAUUAGGACCAAUUCAAUAUUUGUGAGUACAAACGCACAGCAUGCGCGACGCCGCGACGCCGUUUCAUGUAAAAACUGAUCUGUGGGAGGCUAAAAAUACUCAGUGUGCAAUCUGCUGGUGACACUGCUGUUGACCAGCCAGAUCCCCAAGUCACUGACACCUUCGAAUCUCCUGGGCAGCAAUUUCUUCCAGUUUGGCAGCAAGCAAUAUCAGAAGUUGUUGGUAAUCUGGGCGCCCUCACAUAUGCCUUGGGAAUUAUUAACUGCUAUAACAAGAGAGACAGAGUAUCAUAUUGCA
This 911-nucleotide small RNA is filed under the name Histoplasma capsulatum var. duboisii H88. Its description in RNAcentral is "Histoplasma capsulatum H88 hypothetical RNA". Lineage: Eukaryota; Fungi; Ascomycota; Eurotiomycetes; Onygenales; Ajellomycetaceae. The record is from RNAcentral.